AUGGGAACGCGAAGAACCUUACCUAGACUUGACAUCUCCUGAAUAGUGUAGAGAUACAUGAAGCCCUUCGGGGCAGGAAGACAGGUGGUGCAUGGUUGUCGUCAGCUCGUGUCGUGAGAUGUUGGGUUAAGUCCCGCAACGAGCGCAACCCUUAUUACUAGUUGCUACCAUUAAGUUGAGCACUCUAGUGAGACUGCCCGGGUUAACCGGGAGGAAGGCGGGGAUGACGUCAAAUCAUCAUGCCCCUUAUGUCUAGGGCAACACACGUGCUACAAUGGUGAGUACAGAUAGAUGCGAUACCGCAAGGUGGAGCCAAACUCUAAAACUCAUCCCAGUUCGGAUUGUAGGUUGCAACUCGCCUACAUGAAGUUGGAGUUGCUAGUAAUCGCGAAUCAGAAUGUCGCGGUGAAUACGUUCCCGGGUCUUGUACACACCG
RNAcentral lists this ribosomal RNA (436 nucleotides) under uncultured bacterium. RNAcentral describes it as "bacterial SSU rRNA". It matches the Rfam family "Bacterial small subunit ribosomal RNA", at positions 954 to 1392 of the family's 1533-position model. The record is from RNAcentral.